AGAGAGAGACAUGCGCGCAUAUCAAUAAGCGGAGGAAAAGAAACUAACAAGGAUUCCCCUUAGUAACGGCGAGUGAAGCGGGAAGAGCUCAAAUUUGAAAUCUUCAAGGGUUUACCUUUACGAAUUGUAGUUUAAAGAAGUGUUUUCUGUUGAGGUUUUCGGUAAAAGUUCUUUGGAAUAGGACAUCAUAGAGGGUGAGAAUCCCGUAUUUGACCUUUACUUUCAACUUUGUGAUACACUUUCAAAGAGUCGGAUUGUUUGGGAAUGCAGUCCAAAAUGGGUGGUAAAUUUCAUCUAAAGCUAAAUAUUGGCGAGAGACCGAUAGCGAACAAGUACCGUGAGGGAAAGAUGAAAAGAACUUUGAAAAGAGAGUUAAACAGUACGUGAAAUUGUCAAAAGGGAAGCGUUUGACACCAGUGUUGUUUUUCUGAAAAUCAAUUAAAGAACUGUUUAUGCUAAGUUGUUUAGACUUUAUCAGCUAUCUGUUUAGUUUUGAGCUUUUCUUUAAUGCACUUUUCAGUUAACAAGUCAACAUCAAUUUCUUUUGCUGUAAAAAAGCUUGAGGAAGGUGGCUUGAGAUUCGUCUUAAGUGUUUAUAGCCUCUUGCCUAUGCAGUCGGAGAGAUUGAGGUCUGCAGCGUAGAUCCUUCGGGGCUAAAUGCAUUUGUGCUAAGUUAUAGCAUUUUAUAGACAACUUGUUGACUAUGAUUUGUCUUGUAGCUUACUCGCUUAUGUUAUUUUACCUACGCUUAGGAUGUUGAGCGCAUGUCUCUCUCU
This 776-nucleotide ribosomal RNA is filed under the name uncultured Neocallimastigales. RNAcentral describes it as "partial large subunit ribosomal RNA". It matches the Rfam family "Eukaryotic large subunit ribosomal RNA", at positions 23 to 616 of the family's 3401-position model. The record is from RNAcentral. Lineage: Eukaryota; Fungi; Neocallimastigomycota; Neocallimastigomycetes; Neocallimastigales.